GCUGUAAAACUAGCCUCACCAAGGCUUCCGUUGAAAACAAUUAUUACGGAACAAGAAGAAUUUAACCCCCCCCCAAAAAUAAAACAUUUUUCCCCCUUAGUAUGGGAGACAGAAAAG
RNAcentral lists this ribosomal RNA (117 nucleotides) under Synodus dermatogenys (banded lizardfish). Its description in RNAcentral is "partial 16S rRNA". The record is from RNAcentral. Lineage: Eukaryota; Metazoa; Chordata; Actinopteri; Aulopiformes; Synodontidae.